GGUGAGGUGCGAGAGUGGUUGAAUCGGGCGGUCUCGAAAACCGUUGUACCCUUACGGGUACCGUGGGUUCGAAUCCCACCCUCACCGCCA
This 90-nucleotide transfer RNA is filed under the name Pseudomonadota bacterium. Its description in RNAcentral is "tRNA-Ser". It matches the Rfam family "tRNA". Rfam says of the family: Transfer RNA (tRNA) molecules are approximately 80 nucleotides in length. The record is from RNAcentral. RNAcentral also lists the same sequence under 6 other names. Lineage: Bacteria; Pseudomonadati; Pseudomonadota.